UCGAUUCAGCGGCGGACGGGUGAGUAAUGCCUAGGAAUCUGCCUGGUAGUGGGGGACAACGUUUCGAAAGGAACGCUAAUACCGCAUACGUCCUACGGGAGAAAGCAGGGGACCUUCGGGCCUUGCGCUAUCAGAUGAGCCUAGGUCGGAUUAGCUAGUUGGUGAGGUAAUGGCUCACCAAGGCGACGAUCCGUAACUGGUCUGAGAGGAUGAUCAGUCACACUGGAACUGAGACACGGUCCAGACUCCUACGGGAGGCAGCAGUGGGGAAUAUUGGACAAUGGGCGAAAGCCUGAUCCAGCCAUGCCGCGUGUGUGAAGAAGGUCUUCGGAUUGUAAAGCACUUUAAGUUGGGAGGAAGGGCAUUAASYUAAUACSUURSUGUUUUGACRUUACCRACAGAAUAAGCACCGGCUAACU
RNAcentral lists this ribosomal RNA (419 nucleotides) under uncultured bacterium. RNAcentral describes it as "bacterial SSU rRNA". The record is from RNAcentral.